AGGUUACUGCUAUCGGUGUUCGCCUAAGCCAUGCGAGUCAUAUGUUCGUAAGAACAUGGCGUACUGCUCGGUAACACGUGGAUAACCUGCCCUUGGGUCCGGCAUAACCCCGGGAAACUGGGGAUAAUUCCGGAUAACGCACAUAUGCUGGAAUGCUUUAUGCGUAAAAUGGAUUCGUCUGCCCAAGGAUGGGUCUGCGGCCUAUCAGGUAGUAGUGGGUGUAAUGUACCUACUAGCCUACGACGGGUACGGGUUGUGAGAGCAAGAGCCCGGAGAUGGAUUCUGAGACAUGAAUCCAGGCCCUACGGGGCGCAGCAGGCGCGAAAACUUUACAAUGCGGGAAACCGUGAUAAGGGGACACCGAGUGCCAGCAUCCUAUGCUGGCUGUCCGGGUGUGUAAAAUACACCUGUUAGCAAGGGCCGGGCAAGACCGGUGCCAGCCGCCGCGGUAACACCGGCGGCCCGAGUGGUGAUCGUGAUUAUUGGGUCUAAAGGGUCCGUAGCCGGUUUGGUCAGUCCUCCGGGAAAUCUGACAGCUUAACUGUUAGGCUUUCGGAGGAUACUGCCAGACUUGGAACCGGGAGAGGUAAGAGGUACUACAGGGGUAGGAGUGAAAUCUUGUAAUCCCUGUGGGACCACCUGUGACGAAGGCGUCUUACCAGAACGGGUUCGACGGUGAGGGACGAAAGCUGGGGGCACGAACCGGAUUAGAUACCCGGGUAGUCCCAGCCGUAAACGAUGCUCGCUAGGUGUCAGGCAUGGCGCGACCGCGUCUGGUGCCGCAGGGAAGCCGUGAAGCGAGCCACCUGGGAAGUACGGCCGCAAGGCUGAAACUUAA
RNAcentral lists this ribosomal RNA (838 nucleotides) under uncultured archaeon. Its description in RNAcentral is "bacterial SSU rRNA". It matches the Rfam family "Archaeal small subunit ribosomal RNA", at positions 21 to 859 of the family's 1478-position model. The record is from RNAcentral.